UGGGGAAUAUUGGACAAUGGGCGCAAGCCUGAUCCAGCCAUGCCGCGUGAGUGAUGAAGGCCUUAGGGUUGUAAAGCUCUUUCGCCGGUGAAGAUAAUGACGGUAACCGGAGAAGAAGCCCCGGCUAACUUCGUGCCAGCAGCCGCGGUAAUACGAAGGGGGCUAGCGUUGCUCGGAAUCACUGGGCGUAAAGCGCACGUAGGCGGAUCGUUAAGUCAGGGGUGAAAUCCUGGAGCUCAACUCCAGAACUGCCCUUGAUACUGGCGAUCUCGAGUUCGAGAGAGGUUGGUGGAACUCCGAGUGUAGAGGUGAAAUUCGCAGAUAUUCGGAAGAACACCAGUGGCGAAGGCGGCCAACUGGCUCGAUACUGACGCUGAGGUGCGAAAGCGUGGGGAGCAAAACAGGAUUAGAUACCCUGAUAGUCCACGCCGUAAACGAUGGAUGCUAGCCGUUGGGGGGUUUACCUCUCAGUGGCGCAGCUAACGCCUUAAGCAUCCCGCCUGGGGAGUACGGUCGCAAGAUUAAAACUCAAAUGAAUUGACGGGGUCAUAGCUGUUUCCU
RNAcentral lists this ribosomal RNA (561 nucleotides) under uncultured bacterium. Its description in RNAcentral is "partial 16S ribosomal RNA". It matches the Rfam family "Bacterial small subunit ribosomal RNA", at positions 355 to 1375 of the family's 1533-position model. The record is from RNAcentral.